This 72-nucleotide transfer RNA is filed under the name Ictidomys tridecemlineatus (thirteen-lined ground squirrel). RNAcentral's name for it is "Spermophilus tridecemlineatus (thirteen-lined ground squirrel) tRNA". It matches the Rfam family "tRNA". From Rfam's summary of the family: Transfer RNA (tRNA) molecules are approximately 80 nucleotides in length. Their secondary structure includes four short double-helical elements and three loops (D, anti-codon, and T loops). Further hydrogen bonds mediate the characteristic L-shaped molecular structure. tRNAs have two regions of fundamental functional importance: the anti-codon, which is responsible for specific mRNA codon recognition, and the 3' end, to which the tRNAs corresponding amino acid is attached (by aminoacyl-tRNA synthetases). tRNAs cope with the degeneracy of the genetic code in two manners: having more than one tRNA (with a specific anti-codon) for a particular amino acid; and 'wobble' base-pairing, i.e. permitting non-standard base-pairing at the 3rd anti-codon position. Lineage: Eukaryota; Metazoa; Chordata; Mammalia; Rodentia; Sciuridae. The record is from Rfam by way of RNAcentral.
AGGGUUGUGGCUCAGUGGUAGAGCACUUGCCUAGCACGUGUGAGGCACUGGGUUCAAUUCCCAGCAUCACAU